This 551-nucleotide ribosomal RNA is filed under the name uncultured eukaryote. Its description in RNAcentral is "SSU rRNA". It matches the Rfam family "Eukaryotic small subunit ribosomal RNA", at positions 20 to 575 of the family's 1831-position model. The record is from RNAcentral.
GUAGUCAUAUGCUUGUCUCAAAGAUUAAGCCAUGCAUGUCUAAGUAUAAGCAACUACACUGUGAAACUGCGAAUGGCUCAUUAAAUCAGUUAUCGUUUAUUUGAUAGUACCUUACUACUUGGAUAACCGUGGUAAUUCUAGAGCUAAUACAUGCGCAAAACCCCGACUUCGGAAGGGGUGUAUUUAUUAGAUAAAAAACCAAUGCCCUUCGGGGCUCUCUGGUGAUUCAUAAUAACUAAACGAAUCGCAUGGCCUUGCGCCGGCGAUGGUUCAUUCAAAUUUCUGCCCUAUCAACUUUCGAUUGUUAAGUAGUGGUUAACAAUGGUUUCAACGGGUAACGGGGAAUUAGGGUUCGACUCCGGAGAGGGAGCCUGAGAAACGGCUACCACAUCCAAGGAAGGCAGCAGGCGCGCAAAUUACCCAAUCCCGACACGGGGAGGUAGUGACAAUAAAUACUGAUACAGGGCUCUUUUGGGUCUUGUAAUUGGAAUGAGUACAAUUUAAAUCCCUUAACGAGGAACAAUUGGGGGGCAAGUCUGGUGCCAGCAGCC